RNAcentral lists this small RNA (28 nucleotides) under Bombyx mori (domestic silkworm). RNAcentral's name for it is "ovarian small RNA-36321". The record is from RNAcentral. Lineage: Eukaryota; Metazoa; Arthropoda; Insecta; Lepidoptera; Bombycidae.
UUAACAAAUGUUAAAGAAUGAAAGUGUC